RNAcentral lists this ribosomal RNA (497 nucleotides) under uncultured bacterium. RNAcentral describes it as "partial 16S ribosomal RNA". It matches the Rfam family "Bacterial small subunit ribosomal RNA", at positions 28 to 507 of the family's 1533-position model. The record is from RNAcentral.
GAUGAACGCUGGCGGCGUGCCUAAUACAUGCAAGUCGAGCGAACGGACGAGAAGCUUGCUUCUCUGAUGUUAGCGGCGGACGGGUGAGUAACACGUGGAUAACCUACCUAUAAGACUGGGAUAAAUUCGGGAAACCGGAGCUAAUACCGGAUAAUAUUUUGAACCGCAUGGUUCAAAAGUGAAAGACGGUCUUGCUGUCACUUAUAGAUGGAUCCGCGCUGCAUUAGCUAGUUGGUAAGGUAACGGCUUACGAAGGCAACGAUGCAUAGGCGACCUGAGAGGGGGAUAGGCCACACGGGAACUGAACCACGGUCCAGACUCCUACGGGAGGGAGCAGUAGGGAAUCUUCCGCAAUGGGCGAAAGCCUGACGGAGCAACGCCGCGUGAGUGAUGAAGAUCUUCGGAUCGUAAAACUCUGUUAUUAGGGAAGAACAUAUGUGUAAGUAACUGUGCACAUCUUGACGGUACCUAAUCAGAAAGCCACGGCUAACUACGUG